Molecule: ribosomal RNA, 468 nt
Filed under: uncultured bacterium
Lineage: Bacteria
Description: partial 16S ribosomal RNA
Rfam family: Bacterial small subunit ribosomal RNA
Source: RNAcentral
GACGAACGCUGGCGGCGUGCUUAACACAUGCAAGUCGAACGGAAAGGCCCUGCUUUUGUUGGGUGCUCGAGUGGCGAACGGGUGAGUAACACGUGAGUAACCUGCCCUUGACUUUGGGAUAACUUCAGGAAACUGGGGCUAAUACCGGAUAGGAGCUCCUGCUGCACGGUGGGGGUUGGAAAGUUUCGGCGGUUGGGGAUGGACUCGCGGCUUAUCAGCUUGUUGGUGGGGUAGUGGCUUACAAAGGCUGUGACGGGUAGCCGGCCUGAGAGGGUGAACGGCCACAAUGGGACUGAGAGACGGCCCAGACUCCUACGGGAGGCAGCAGUGGGGAAUAUUGCACAAUGGGCGGACGCCUGAUGCAGCAACGCCGCGUGCGGGAUGACGGCCUUCGGGUUGUAAACCGCUUUCGCCUGUGACGAAGCGUGAGUGACGGUAAUGGGUAAAGAAGCACCGGCUAACUACGUG